This is a non-coding RNA of Camellia sinensis, 3852 nucleotides long. The record is from RefSeq and is a predicted model, not a curated record. Lineage: Eukaryota; Viridiplantae; Streptophyta; Magnoliopsida; Ericales; Theaceae.
AUGGGCGAAGAUGUAGAACUCCAGUAUGUUGGGAUGAGGUUGGAGAGAGAAAAUUGUUAGGGCCAGAGAUUGUUCAAAUUACUACCAAUAAAGUGCAUAUUAUUCGAGAAAGGUUGAAGGCGGCUCAAAGUAGACAAAAGAGCUAUGCAGAUAAUCGAAGGAGAGAUUUGGAAUUUCAAGUGGGAGAUCAUGUAUUUUUACGAAUCUCGCCAUGGAAGGGAGUGAUGCGAUUUGGUAAGAAAGGCAAACUAAGUCCAAGGUAUAUUGGGCCAUUUGAGAUAUUAGAGCGCAUUGGCAAGACUGCUUAUCGUUUGGCCUUACCACCUAGUCUAUCUCGCAUUCACAAUGUGUUUCAUGUAUCCACAUUGAAGAAGUACAUGCCUGACCCAUCACACGUGUUAGAUUUCCAACCAAUCCAACUCAAGGAUGAUUUGUCUUAUGAAGAGGAAGCCAUAGAGAUUGUGGACAUGAAGGAUCAAGUACUACGUUCCAAGACCAUACCACUAGUAAAGGUAUUGUGGAAAAAUCAUGCUUUGGAGGAAGCUACUUGGGAGCGGGAGGAUAAUAUGAAAAUUCGAUAUCCACAUCUUUUUCAAGGUAUGAACUAGACUAAACAAACGAAUAAAUUUCGUGGACGAAAUUUUCCUUUAGGGGGGUAGAAUUAUAAUAUUCCCAACUUUUCAUCUAGAGCCAAACACACUCCUAUGUUAAACUCCAUUUAGGAUAUCUAAACCCAACUCCAAACUUGAUGGUAGGUGUAACCAAACACCCCAUUUCAACACAAAAAAAAUUAGAAGUGCAGAUUUUUUUUCUUCAUUCUUCAUUCUCUAACUUCUCUCUACUUUCUCUCUCAUUUUCCUUUACUUUCUUGGAGGCCAAACACCACACCUUUGCUCCACCCUUACACCACCACCUUGACCCACCAUCUCCACCACCUCCGGCCACCUUAUCUCGCCGGAAAAUGGGUCCGGUCGGCACUCCUUGAAUCCAUCCGAAAAUAACACAAUAGAAGCACAAACUCUAGAUUUUUCUUAAUCUUUUGAAGAAUCAAAGCAUGGGAUUUAUUUUCUUGAUGGAUUAGAGGCUUGUACUUGGAUUGGAGGAAGGCAUCUCUCCACCUCUUGGAAAUUAAUUUGUAGAGUUUUAAAUCUAUACUUUUGCUAUUUUUGGAGAUUCAUAGACUUUUGUGUGGCUCGCCUCAACUUGGAAGACUAGAAUUUUUUUGAAGGAUCACAGGUGGGCAUCUUGUGGUUGAGGUUUUGCUUAGGGUCAUUCUAGGAUGUAAGCUUACCCUUUUUUUUUUAUGAAGGAGGUUGAUUGUAAAUAUUGCUUAUGAAGUUGGAUGUAUUGAUGGAUUCGUGAUUAGUAUGUAUUAUUUUUUUUUUUGGGAGGAAAUGCUUGGGAACUAUCUUUUAGCAUGAUAAUACUUUUUUUGCCUUUGAAUAGAUCAUCUCAUAUAUGUUAGGCAAUUGAAAGGUCUUAUACACUUUUGGUGAUGUGGUGAUGUGAUGUAAGAAUUAUACAGGAAUUGUGGUGUAAAGGUGCUAUAGCGUUUGAGGUGCACCCUCUUGGCAGGGUUUUGCCUUGCCAAGAUUGGGUCGUUACAUUUUUGGUAUCAGAGCACGAGUUAAUAUCUCACACACGAGUCCAUUGAGCGUUAGAAUUUCUAGAACAGAAUUAAGUUGCAUGCAUCUAAUAAGUAAGUGAUAAGUUGUGCACUUGGGAAUAUAUGUGUUUGUGUAAUAGAUUUAAGUAUUAAAACCAAGAAUUAAGAGUUGUAGGGUAUUUUGUUGCUUAUAAGAGGACCGAAAUGUGUUUGUUUAAUAAGUGUGGUAUUGAGGCUAAAAGCCAAGAACUAUUGAGGAACUUUUUCACAUUGUAAGUAAAUAUUAGUGAGUACAAGUAUAAUGAUCUGCGAGAAUGUAAUAUUAUAAGAACUAAAGGUUAUUUUGGAAUUUCGAUGAUUAAGAAGGACUGGGAUAUGUGUGUUCAACAAGUUUAGUGUUGAAGAUAAGAGUUAUUGUGAAAUUUUCUUUUUAUGCUAUAAGGGAAAUGUAAUUUUUGAUCAUAGCACAUUGGUGAGUACAUGCAUAUUGAUUCAUGUGAACACAGUAUUAAACAGAAUUAAAAGUUUUUGAUGGAAGUUGGGAAGGCUAUGCGGUUAAAUGUAAAAUUAGAGUUUGAGAACAUUUUAGGAAGUUAAAGUAUUUGAUGAUUAAUGAAGUGUGUCGAACUAUGGUGAUUGAGAGUUAGAAAACUAUUUGAUAUGAAGAUGAUAUGCUAUUUUGGUGAAGGACCUACUAUAUGAACCAUGGAAGUUCAUACAUAUGUUGAUGACCUUGAAAGUCCGAUUAGAAUCACGUUCGGUCAACAUAGUUUCGAAUCGGAAAUUCUUGAUCAACUUCAUGGGAAUGAAUAGGUUGCCCUACCAAUCUCUUUGCAAAAAAAAAAAGGAAUUGUUUAAUUAUGGUUGAAUUUGUGAUGUAUGAUUUAGGUUAUCCAAUAUUACCCCGACUGCUAUCUAUCUUGUCUUGUGACUCUAAGAAAAGAUAAUGAGAAGAAAGAACGAAAUGGAAGUUGAGUCUAUGUUGGAGCAAUUGGGCAAAAUAGAGGAAGUGUUAAGAAAUAUAAUGAAAGCUAGGCAAUAAUGCUAUGGGAAACUGCAAGAUUAUAAGAAAAGUAAAGUGUUAAGUCAAAGAAGGAAUUACAUAAUAUGUUUGAGAAGCAGAGUAUUAAGUGUUAAGCAAAGUUUGGAGUGGUUAGAAAUUUUAAGCAAGAUAUAAGUUCAUUCCCCAAAUGUUCGAUUUGUUGCAAAUAUUAUAACGGGGUAUAUCAUCGAACUUUAAGAGCAUACUACAAAUAUGGAGAGAUAGAACAACUAACGAAGGAUUAUUUAGGAGUAAUAAAAUUUUAAGGAGAUUUCAAGUCAGCCAGUCAGUUUAAAGAUUAGUUUCUAACCCAAUUGCUAAGUAAAGGAGUACUUUAAGCAUGUGUAUAGAAUUUUGAGUUGUUAUGUCAUAUAUGUUUUGGGAUAUGUGAAUCUUUCCUACCUAAUGUUUGGCAGACAUAAGAUACAUUUACUUGGAUUUUGGAACUCCAUCUGAAAAUGCUAAGAAUAUUAGAGUAUGACCAAGACUUAGAUUUAUUGUAAAGAAGCCUGUAUCUAGUACUACUACUUAGAAGAGUUAUUGCGAAAUGAAAAGCAAGAAAAUAUUUUUGCCGAAGUUAUAAAUGCAUAUUUCUUAAGAACCUCUUAGGACAAAGAAUUUGAAUUGACUAACUUGCAAAGGAUUGAGAAAGACAAAAUUUGGUUUCAAAAUACUUUGAUGAUAGCUUUGAUGCUACUGGAUGGUUGAAGUAAGUUAUAUAUGCAUACAAGAGAAUUGGACAAUUUAGAAUUUAUUUGCUUAGGCAUUUGGAGCCCAAUAUGAGAUUGUUAAGACAAUUAGAAUAAGAUUGUUAUUUCGGGUACCUCAACUAAUUGUGAGUAAAGUGUCCACACGUUAAUUGAUUCAAGACCCAUCCAUUCAUUUGAAGCUAAUUGUUAUAAGCUGAAUGUAUCAUUGGAAAUAUUAUUAUAUAAUAAUAAAUAACUAAAUAAAAAAUGUUUUUUUCGUUAGUUAGAGAAUUAUAUUACUUGGGAACUUGUACUAUGAUUAUGGUUCAAUAUGGACCCUAGAAUGUAACGUUUUGAGUGAAUGGAUUUUCUAUCUCUCAAGUGGAUGUGAUCAUACACCUAAGCGAGUCGUCUUUGACUUUUGAGAUUAAACAGUUAUUUUGUGGAACCAAUGGAGUAAAACCCCAGCCUAUUUGAUUUGUCAAUAAGGCCAUUGUGGUCCGAGUAUUUGUGGA